UUGUCAAUUUUUGUUGUAAGGUUUUGAAGGUUUGAUUAUAGUCUGGGUUGAGUUAAAAUAGUGUUAUCUAGUUAUGAUUCAUUUUGUAGGCAAUGUAGUUUGACCUUGGUAUAUUAUCGUUUGUAUAUUAUCUGUUCCAGAAUAAUCGGCUAGACGGAUUAAAUUAGAACUCUAAUUGUUUUUAUAUUAAGUUUUUAUUCUUUUGUUGUUAUGAUUCUAGGGUGAAAUUUGGAAUUUUUUUUUUAUUUGGCUUAAUUUAUGAGAUUUAGGUGAUGAACCAGAUUAGUACCUGGGUAAUUAAAAUUGAUAAUAGCAGGAGUAAAGUGUUGUUUAAACUGAAAUAAUAUUGGCAGGUUUUUAAAUUAUCUUUGAAGGUUGGACUGUAAUUGAGAGCCCUCAUUUUCUGCUUUAACUUUUGUUUUAUGUAUGAUCGCUCAUCUUAUUCUUGAGGAUUGUGAUGUUAAUUUUUUUGUUGUAAGAGCAGAUAUUUACUUAGUUUAUGUUAAAGGUUGUUCUGACCUACAAUAUUUGAGAAUGUGGAUUAGAAGUUUUGUGAUUUUUAUGAAAAUGUAAAAGACAGUAAGUUGAUUUUUAUGGUUGACUGAAGAUUAUUUGAGAACGGUACAAAUCAUCCAUCAAUUGCCCACAGGGGAGUAAGUUGUAGUAAAGUAGAGUUAGGGGAACCUGUCUCUAGUAGUUA
Molecule: non-coding RNA, 700 nt
Filed under: Ascaridia galli
Lineage: Eukaryota; Metazoa; Nematoda; Chromadorea; Rhabditida; Ascaridiidae
Source: RNAcentral